GGGCCGCUAGCUCAACUGGCAGAGCAGCAGACUCUUAAUCUGCGGGUUCGGGGUUCGAGUCCCUGGCGGCUCACCA
Molecule: transfer RNA, 76 nt
Filed under: bacterium
Lineage: Bacteria
Also listed under: 6 other names
Description: tRNA-Lys
Rfam family: tRNA
About the family: Transfer RNA (tRNA) molecules are approximately 80 nucleotides in length.
Source: RNAcentral